This 561-nucleotide ribosomal RNA is filed under the name uncultured bacterium. RNAcentral describes it as "bacterial SSU rRNA". It matches the Rfam family "Bacterial small subunit ribosomal RNA", at positions 293 to 858 of the family's 1533-position model. The record is from RNAcentral.
UGAGAGGAUGGCCAGCCACACUGGAACUGAGACACGGUCCAGACUCCUACGGGAGGCAGCAGUGGGGAAUCUUGCACAAUGGGCGAAAGCCUGAUGCAGCGACGCCGCGUGGGGGAUGAAGCUUCUCGGAGUGUAAACCCCUUUCGACCCGGACGAAAACCUCGCAAGAGGAUUGACGGUACGGGUAUAAGAAGCCCCGGCUAACUACGUGCCAGCAGCCGCGGUAAGACGUAGGGGGCCAGCGUUGCUCGGAAUUACUGGGUGUAAAGGGUUCGUAGGCGGUGUGGCAAGUCGGGAGUGAAAUCUCUGGGCUCAACCCAGAGUCUGCUUCCGAAACUGCUGUGCUUGAGUGUGGGAGAGGCGCGUGGAAUUGCAGGUGUAGCGGUGAAAUGCGUAGAUAUCUGCAGGAACACCCGUGGCGAAAGCGGCGCGCUGGACCACUACUGACGCUGAGGAACGAAAGCUAGGGGAGCAAACAGGAUUAGAUACCCUGGUAGUCCUAGCCCUAAACGAUCAGGACUUGGGGUGCCACCCGUUCGGGUGUCGUCCCGGAGCUAACGC